This 473-nucleotide ribosomal RNA is filed under the name uncultured bacterium. RNAcentral describes it as "bacterial SSU rRNA". It matches the Rfam family "Bacterial small subunit ribosomal RNA", at positions 8 to 507 of the family's 1533-position model. The record is from RNAcentral.
AGAGUUUGAUCAUGGCUCAGGAUGAACGCUGGCGGCGUGCCUAACACAUGCAAGUCGAGCGAUCUUCUUCGGAAGAGAGCGGCGGACGGGUGAGUAACGCGUGGGUAACCUGCCCCAUACACAUGGAUAACAUACCGAAAGGUAUGCUAAUACAAGAUGAUAUAAGAGAUUCGCAUGGAUUUCUUAUCAAAGCUCCGGCGGUAUGAGAUGGACCCGCGUCUGAUUAGCUAGUUGGUAAGGUAAUGGGCUUACCAAGGCGACGAUCAGUAGCCGACCUGAGAGGGUGAUCGGCCACAUUGGAACUGAGACACGGUCCAAACUCCUACGGGAGGCAGCAGUGGGGAAUAUUGCACAAUGGGCGAAAGCCUGAUGCAGCAACGCCGCGUGAGCGAUGAAGGCCUUCGGGUCGUAAAGCUCUGUCCUCAAGGAAGAUAAUGACGGUACUUGAGGAGGAAGCCCCGGCUAACUACGUG